GUAAUAGCUCACUGGUCGAGUGAAGUUGCGCGGAAAAUUACCGGGGCUAAGUUAUACACCGAAAUUGCGGAUUCAUUAAGAAAUUAAUGAGUGGUAGAGGAGCGUUCUAUACAGGAUGAAGUAUGAUCGAGAGGACAUAUGGACAGUAUAGAAGAGAGAAUGCCGGAAUGAGUAGCGAGAGCAAAGUGAGAAUCUUUGCCGUCGAAAAUCUAAGGUUUCCUGGGGAAGGUUCGUCCGCCCAGGGUAAGUCGGGACCUAAGGUGAGGCCGAAGGGCGUAGCCGAUGGACAGCAGGUUAAGAUUCCUGCACCAGUAUACAUGUAUAAUGCAUAAGAGGACACAUUUGAAGAAGGUGAGCGAGGAAGAGGAAAAACUCGUAUGGCAACAUAUAGUGAAAUAAAGUAACGAAUCAUCAAGAGGCGAGUGGCGAGAAAAGUCUUAUGUAGUUGUGUAGACUGCCCGUACCGCAAACCGACACAGGUAGAUGAGGAGAGGAUCCUAAGACGAGCGGGAGAAGCAUUGUUAAGGAACUCGGCAAAUUGACCCCGUAACUUAGGGAUAAGGGGUGCUGGUGUAAAAACCAGUCGCAGUAAAUAGGCCCAAGCAACUGUUUAACAAAAACACAGGUUUCUGCUAAAUCGCAAGAUGAAGUAUAGGAGCUGACUCCUGCCCAGUGCUGGAAGGUUAAGGGGAAAGGUUAGGAAUAAUUCAUUAUAUCCGAAGCUUUGAACUCAAGCCCCAGUGAACGGCGGCCGUAACUAUAACGGUCCUAAGGUAGCGAAAUUCCUUGUCAGGUAAGUUCUGACCCGCACGAAAGGUGUAAUGAUUUGGGCACUGUCUCAACAAUGUACCCGGCGAAAUUGUAGUACUAGUGAAGAUGCUAGUUACCUGCGACAAGACGGAAAGACCCCAUGGAGCUUUACUAUAGCCUGAUAUUGGGCUUUGGUAUCUUAUGUACAGGAUAGGUGGGAGACGAAGAGAUUAAGACGCUAGUCUUAAAGGAGUCAACCUUGGAAUACCACCCUUAAGAUAUUAGAGUUCUAACUUGUGAUCAUAAACUGGUCAGAGGACAUUGUCAGGUGGGUAGUUUGACUGGGGCGGUCUCCUCCUAAAGAGUAACGGAGGUGCGCAAAGGUUUCCUCGGCACGGUCAGAAAUCGUGCUAUUGAGUGUAAAGGCAUAAGGAAGCUUAACUGAGAGAGAGACAUCUCGAGCAGAUACGAAAGUAGGUCUUAGUGAUCCGGUGGUAGAAAAUGGAAUUGCCAUCGCUCAACGGAUAAAAGUUACCCUGGGGAUAACAGGCUUAUCUCCCCCAAGAGUUCACAUCGACGGG
This 1331-nucleotide ribosomal RNA is filed under the name human oral metagenome. RNAcentral describes it as "bacterial LSU rRNA". It matches the Rfam family "Bacterial large subunit ribosomal RNA", at positions 1134 to 2512 of the family's 2925-position model. The record is from RNAcentral.